Molecule: ribosomal RNA, 483 nt
Filed under: uncultured bacterium
Lineage: Bacteria
Description: partial 16S ribosomal RNA
Rfam family: Bacterial small subunit ribosomal RNA
Source: RNAcentral
AGUGGACGCUGGCGGCAGGCCUAACACAUGCAAGUCGAGCGGCAGCGCGGGGGCAACCCUGGCGGCGAGCGGCGGACGGGUGAGGAAUUCGUCGGAAUCUGCCUUUUUGUGGGGGAUAACGUAGGGAAACUUACGCUAAUACCGCAUACGUCCUACGGGAGAAAGUGGGGGACCGCAAGGCCUCACGCAGAAAGAUGAGCCGACGACCGAUUAGCUAGUUGGUGGGGUAAAGGCCCACCAAGGCGACGAUCGGUAGCUGGUCUGAGAGGAUGAUAGCCACACUGGGACUGAGACACGGCCCAGACUCCUACGGGAGGCAGCAGUGGGGAAUAUUGGACAAUGGGCGCAAGCCUGAUCCAGCCAUGCCGCGUGUGUGAAGAAGGCCUUCGGGUUGUAAAGCACUUUUGUCCGGAAAGAAAUCCCUGGAGCUAAUACCUUCGGGGGAUGACGGUACCGGAAGAAUAAGCACCGGCUAACUUCGUG